RNAcentral lists this ribosomal RNA (180 nucleotides) under Falciphora oryzae. RNAcentral's name for it is "5.8S ribosomal RNA". The stretch from base 24 to 177 matches the Rfam family "5.8S ribosomal RNA". Rfam says of the family: 5.8S ribosomal RNA (5.8S rRNA) is a component of the large subunit of the eukaryotic ribosome. The record is from RNAcentral. Lineage: Eukaryota; Fungi; Ascomycota; Sordariomycetes; Magnaporthales; Magnaporthaceae.
GAGGAAAAUAAACCAAUAAUUAAAACUUUCAACAACGGAUCUCUUGGUUCUGGCAUCGAUGAAGAACGCAGCGAAAUGCGAUAAGUAAUGUGAAUUGCAGAAUUCAGUGAAUCAUCGAAUCUUUGAACGCACAUUGCGCCCGCCGGUAUUCCGGCGGGCAUGCCUGUUCGAGCGUCAUUU